GACUUAGAGAGGCUAAGGUCAUACACGUUAUAAAGGGCAGAACCGGAAUUUCAACGUUAACUUCAUCUAACUCCAAAACCCUGUGCUCUUACUCAGUGCCAUGUCCACUAAUAAAACUUAGCAGAAGUGGACCACUUAACAGAGUAUGUUAGUCUCUUCAAGCUGCCACCUCAAAACACCACAGGCUGGGCAGCUUAAACAAUAAAUUUAUUUCUCACAGUUCUGGAGGCCAGGAGUCCAAGAUAAAGGCACCAGCAGGGCCAGUUUCUGGUGAGGCCUCUUGCCCAGCCUGCACGCAGCACCUUCUCACUGUGCCCUUUGUGUGGCCAUUUGUGCACACAGAGGGAAAGGGACAGAGAAAGCUCUGUUGUCUCUUCCUCUUAGAAUGACACUAGUCUUUACGGUAGAAAAGAAAGUUCACAGUUAACAUUUAUAAGAUUAUUUAAUGUACUUACAAAAUUGUAAUAAAAACUCUUACUUUAUUAGAGCAUUAGUUUGGAUGAAUUCAAGUCAUUUUGCCAUUUUACAACCCACUUGGAAGACUUUGCUAUUGCCAUGCAGAUGUUCAGUUUAGCUCAUCGUCCUGUCAGACUAGCCGAGUUUAAGAGAGCUGUGAAAGUAGCAACAGGACAAGAACUCUCAAACAAUAUUUUGGACACUGUCUUCAAGAUCUUUGAUUUGGAUGGCGAUGAAUGUCUUAGUCAUGAAGAGUUUCUUGGGGUGUUAAAAAACAGAAUGCAUCGAGGUUUAUGGGUACCACAACAUCAGAGUAUACAAGAAUACUGGAAGUGUGUGAAGAAAGAAAGCAUUAAAGGAGUAAAAGAAGUCUGGAAACAAGCUGGAAAAGGUCUUUUUUAAUAAAAGAUAUAAUAGUAUGGCAAUUAUAUUGUUCCAAAUGUCAACAUUCGUGAUUUUUUAGAAGUACUAGCUAUUUAUCUUCCUAAGUCUUCAUUGAUAUUCUCUGUGAUAUAAGCAUGUCUUGUACUUGCUUUCUGAUUCAUAA
Molecule: small RNA, 1003 nt
Filed under: Pongo abelii (Sumatran orangutan)
Lineage: Eukaryota; Metazoa; Chordata; Mammalia; Primates; Hominidae
Description: processed transcript
Source: RNAcentral